UUGAACGCUGGCGGCAGGCCUAACACAUGCAAGUCGAGCGGAUGAAGGGAGCUUGCUCCUGGAUUCAGCGGCGGACGGGUGAGUAAUGCCUAGGAAGCUGCCUGGUAGUGGGGGAUAACGUCCGGAAACGGGCGCUAAUACCGCAUACGUCCGGAGGGAGAAAGUGGGGGAUCUUCGGACCUCACGCUAUCAGAUGAGCCUAGGUCGGAUUAGCUAGUUGGUGGGGUAAAGGCCUACCAAGGCGACGAUCCGUAACUGGUCUGAGAGGAUGAGCAGUCACACGGGAACUGAGACACGGUCCAGACUCCUACGGGAGGCCGCAGUGGGGAAUAUUGGACAAUGGGCGAAAGCCUGAUACAGCCAUGCCGCGUGUGUGAAGAAGGUCUUCGGAUUGUAAAGCACUUUAAGUUGGGAGGAAGGGCAGUAAGUUAAUACCUUGCUGUUUUGACGUUACCAACAGAAUAAGCACCGGCUAACUUCGUG
Molecule: ribosomal RNA, 483 nt
Filed under: uncultured bacterium
Lineage: Bacteria
Description: partial 16S ribosomal RNA
Rfam family: Bacterial small subunit ribosomal RNA
Source: RNAcentral